This 465-nucleotide ribosomal RNA is filed under the name Vreelandella stevensii. RNAcentral's name for it is "partial 16S ribosomal RNA". It matches the Rfam family "Bacterial small subunit ribosomal RNA", at positions 338 to 795 of the family's 1533-position model. The record is from RNAcentral. Lineage: Bacteria; Pseudomonadati; Pseudomonadota; Gammaproteobacteria; Oceanospirillales; Halomonadaceae.
CCUACGGGAGGCAGCAGUGGGGAAUAUUGGACAAUGGGGGCAACCCUGAUCCAGCCAUGCCGCGUGUGUGAAGAAGGCCCUCGGGUUGUAAAGCACUUUCAGUGAGGAAGAACGCCUGGUGGUUAAUACCCAUCAGGAAAGACAUCACUCACAGAAGAAGCACCGGCUAACUCCGUGCCAGCAGCCGCGGUAAUACGGAGGGUGCGAGCGUUAAUCGGAAUUACUGGGCGUAAAGCGCGCGUAGGUGGCUUGAUAAGCCGGUUGUGAAAGCCCCGGGCUCAGCCUGGGAACGGCAUCCGGAACUGUCAAGCUAGAGUGCAGGAGAGGAAGGUAGAAUUCCCGGUGUAGCGGUGAAAUGCGUAGAGAUCGGGAGGAAUACCAGUGGCGAAGGCGGCCUUCUGGACUGACACUGACACUGAGGUGCGAAAGCGUGGGUAGCAAACAGGAUUAGAUACCCGAGUAGUC